GCACUCAAAGAGAUGAGGAUCGGAGAAGAUCGCGUCACCAAGGCUCGGGCACAAGUGCUGAAGCGCCAAUUUCACAAGUUGCAGAUGGAGGAAACUGAAUCGGUGAACGACUAUGCCAUGCGUCUGACUACAUUGGUGGGAGAGAUCCGCGCGCUUGGUGCAAAGCUCGAGGAGACCGAGAUUGUGGAGAAGUUUUUCAGUUCGGUGACUGAUAAAUUCACGUACAUCAUUGGCACGCUCGAGCAGCUUUACGACAUCGACGACAUGACCAUAACGGAGGCGAUCGGACGCUUGCGGACAUGGGAAGAGAAUGCUCGUGGUUGUCGGAAAGGCAAAGAA
RNAcentral lists this ribosomal RNA (339 nucleotides) under Triticum aestivum (bread wheat). RNAcentral describes it as "partial small subunit ribosomal RNA". Lineage: Eukaryota; Viridiplantae; Streptophyta; Magnoliopsida; Poales; Poaceae. The record is from RNAcentral.